CCGCUUUUAGCUCAGUGGUCGAGCGGUGGCUUUGGAAGCCACAGGUCGGUGGUUCGAACCCGUCAGGGCACA
RNAcentral lists this transfer RNA (72 nucleotides) under Phytophthora infestans T30-4. RNAcentral's name for it is "tRNA-Pro for anticodon UGG". It matches the Rfam family "tRNA". From Rfam's summary of the family: Transfer RNA (tRNA) molecules are approximately 80 nucleotides in length. Their secondary structure includes four short double-helical elements and three loops (D, anti-codon, and T loops). The record is from Rfam by way of RNAcentral. Lineage: Eukaryota; Oomycota; Peronosporomycetes; Peronosporales; Peronosporaceae.